UUUUGGGAACGGCCAACAGAAGUGCGUAGUCUAUCAUUUGCUGGACAACUGGGUUCUUGUUUGCGUUGUUGCUCUCCGACAAAAAUCUCAGAGGCUGUCCCGGAGUUAGUGCCGAUGGUGGUCGGAGCAGAGAGAAAGACCGGCAGAUUCUCGCCGCCUCGCGAACCUUUGCUUCAAUGCCCAUCAUUUUUAGCCAAAUGAUUCUUUGACUGUGAUUCAGCUGUUUUUUUUCUUUUUGACUUUGAUAUUCUUCCUAAAGAGCACACGGUUGAGUCUGCGGAGACUCAGGUGGAAGGGAGCCCGAAGAAUCGAGAUUUUGGCGGUGGGCUUGGCAGAGAUUUACAGGUGAAUGUAUAGUCGAUCACUGCUAAUUACAGGCUUGGCUGAGAUUUGUUUGGAUUGCGAAAAAUUACGUCAUUUUCGUGAUCACAUUUCUCUAUCACAUUUUUCACUCACAUACAUUAAAUUAUUACAAUAAUUUUUUCAUAAAAAAUCAUGAAAAUGCAAUCCAAACAGUUUUUUCUGUAAAAUUAGUCUAUAAAUUUGUUUAGCGAAACAAGGAGAAUUAAUUGGAUAAAUAAUUAAAUGGUUUGCAUAAAGGAUGUCUUUUUUUUUUUCCCGAAAACGAUAGAAGAUAUUUUAUAAAUUCUCAAACUAUAGAAUAUUUGAGCAACGGCUCAAUCAACUUUACAAAGUGUACCGUGACACUUAAGGAGAGCCAAAAAAUCUCUCCUCAUCCAUAAGUAUGUUUAGAGCAUAAUGGCUAAUUUGAUUACUUAAAGACAUAUUAAUAAUAUUCCUAACUUCAAAAGAGCACAUUUGAAACAGAUUAACUAACACAUUUAUGUCUUCGACCAGUGUAGCAGUAUUCGGAUUAUCACCUUUUCCAGCUUUUAGCCAGGCAAUGAGUUGCUUGUUAGCACUAAUGACUUUGAUUCUUUGCCAUCCUUGUUGUCUUGCUUUCAUUAGUGCCAAUCUUACUGCUACAG
RNAcentral lists this long non-coding RNA (989 nucleotides) under Coffea arabica (coffee). Its description in RNAcentral is "long non-coding RNA (CARA_LNC003946)". The record is from RNAcentral. Lineage: Eukaryota; Viridiplantae; Streptophyta; Magnoliopsida; Gentianales; Rubiaceae.